AACCUGGUUGAUCCUGCCAGUAGUCAUAUGCUUGUCUCAUUAGAUUAAGCCAUGCAUGUCUAAGUAUAAACUGCUUUAUACUGUGAAACUGCGAAUGGCUCAUUAAAUCAGUUAUAGUUUAUUUGAUGGUACCUACUUACUCGGAUACCCGUAGUAAUUCUAGAGCUAAUACGUGCGUACAUCCCGACUUCUGGAAGGGACGUAUUUAUUAGAUAAAAGGCCGACCGGGCUUGCCCGACCCGCGGUGACUCAUGAUAACUUCACGAAUCGCAUGGCCUUGCGCCGGCGAUGUUUCAUUCAAAUUUCUGCCCUAUCAACUUUUCGAUGGUAGGAUAGAGGCCUACCAUGGUGGUAACGGGUGACCGGAGAAUUAGGGUUCGAUUCCGGAGAGGGAGCCCUGAGAAACCGGCUACCAC
Molecule: ribosomal RNA, 416 nt
Filed under: uncultured marine eukaryote
Lineage: Eukaryota
Description: SSU rRNA
Rfam family: Eukaryotic small subunit ribosomal RNA
Source: RNAcentral